AUGUGUCGGCUAGUUAUCCUCCAAAACCACCCAUAAUAACAUAUAAAAAAAACGUUGUCAGUUGUCACCAUUCACAUCCAGAGCUCUUAUUUCCAUCAAUGGGGAACUGUGUGUUCAAAGGGAACACCACAAGUGAGGGCGUUUCGGACGAAAAGGUGGUGACCUCAAACGGAGGUAUCAUGGAGCUCUACACCCCCAUAACCGCAGAGCGCAUAACCAACGAGUUUUCCGGCCACGGAAUAUUCCGAAGCCGCCGCGACCUGUUAUCGGAGCCGCUGCACCACGACGAGGAGCUUCACGCGGGGGAACUCUACUACCUCCUUCCUCUGGACCCUUCUCGCAGGUUGACAUGUAGCAAGAGAAUGAUGAGGCACGUGUCCAACGCUGGUGGUAGUGCAACCUUAACGCCUUAUAGGAUGUCUACCUACGAAAGCAACAAUAACAAUAAUAAUAGGGUGUGGUCGGAAGCAGGGGAUGAAGUGUUUCCGAGGAAGGGGGUGUGGAAAGUAAAGUUAGUGAUAAGCCCGGAGCAGCUGUCGGAGAUUUUGUCGCAGGAGUCGCGGACCGAGGCGUUCGUCGAGAGCCUGAGGACGGUGGCGAAGUGCGGCAGUGGGCUGCCGUUGGUGCCCAAUUCCGAUCACUCGAGUGUGUCCAUCACUGACAAUCAAGGUUUACAUGGUUAAAUUAAUUAAUAUUUUGCUCUUUUGUUAUUUAAUUCAUAACCCAGAUAAUCUUAAUCUUUCACAAAUUUAUAGCGUUAAGUUUUAGUUUUUUUUUUUAAGAUAGUUUCUACGGUAUUCAAAUAAUUUAAAUAAAAUAGUGCAUGUAUUCAUCUA
Molecule: RNA transcript, 836 nt
Organism: Cajanus cajan (pigeon pea)
Lineage: Eukaryota; Viridiplantae; Streptophyta; Magnoliopsida; Fabales; Fabaceae
Source: RefSeq, a predicted model, not a curated record